GAUGAACGCUGGCGGCGUGCCUAAUACAUGCAAGUCGAGCGAACGGACGAGAAGCUUGCUUUUCUGAUGUUAGCGGCGGACGGGUGAGUAACACGUGGAUAACCUACCUAUAAGACUGGGAUAACUUCGGGAAACCGGAGCUAAUACCGGAUAAUAUUUUGAACCGCAUGGUUCAAAAGUGAAAGACGGUCUUGCUGUCACUUAUAGAUGGAUCCGCGCUGCAUUAGCUAGUUGGUAAGGUAACGGCUUACCAAGGCAACGAUGCAUAGCCGACGUGAGAGGGUGAUCGGCCACACUGGAACGGAGACACGGUCCAGACUCCUACGGGAGGCAGCAGUAGGGAAUGUGCCGCAAUGGGCGAAAGCCUGACGGAGCAACGCCGCGUGAGUGAUGAAGGUCUUCGGAUCGUAAAACUCUGUUAUUAGGGAAGAACAUAUGUGUAAGUAACUGUGCACAUCUUGACGGUACCUAAUCAGAAAGCCACGGCUAACUACGUG
RNAcentral lists this ribosomal RNA (497 nucleotides) under uncultured bacterium. RNAcentral describes it as "partial 16S ribosomal RNA". It matches the Rfam family "Bacterial small subunit ribosomal RNA", at positions 28 to 507 of the family's 1533-position model. The record is from RNAcentral.